CCUCUGUGAAUCUCUCUCCUCUCAAUCGCUCUCUCUCAAAAUCUCUCCCUCACCAUCUCUCUUCACUCUCCUUCAUCUCUCUUUCCCGCCGCUCUCUCUCUCGGCUUUCCCUCUCCCUCGGUCGUCUCUCCCCGUCGACCCUCUCUCCAUGCCGCCUCUCUCCCCGAACAACACCGCCCGUCGCCGCCUCCUUUUCCGGCCGUUCAGCCGCCGCCGCCGGCCGUAAGCCACCACCAGUCUCAGUCCCUCUCUCUCGGGGGUUUCUCCCCAUCUCUCUCACUUUCUCUUCUCUCCCCUGCCUUGUUUCGCUACUGGGAUUGCGUGUAUAUACGCGUGUAUAUGUGUGUGCAGUGUGUGUAUUUCGACUGAGUGUGUGCGUUUUGUGUGUGUGUCCUGUGUGUNCUACUGGGAUUGCGUGUAUAUACGCGUGUAUAUGUGUGUGCUGUGUGUGUAUUUCGACUGAGUGUGUGCGUUUUGUGUGUGUGUCCUGUGUGUAAAUCAGUGUGUGUACUGGGUUUAGUGAAGGGUGUGUGUGUUCUCCGAGUGUUAUUAGUUAUGUGGCUGUGUAAUUCGUGGUGUGGCUAGAGUCAUAAAACUGAUUUUAUACGCUUUUAUUUAUUAUUUCGGUUGUUGGUUCGUUGGGUUGAGUAUUGAUUGUUGGAUGGUAGUUAUAAAGUAAGUUAUUCGGAUUGAUUACAGGUUUUGUUGGGAUUUGUUGUGUCGAUAUGAUAUCGACUGGUAGUCCGAUAAAUAGAGGAGGUGCUGCCCGAUUUUCAAAUAAAAUUAGAUUUUAAAUUAUAUGGGAGCAUAUCCUAUAGUUAUCGGACUAUUAAUCGAAUUUCUAUAGCUACCGAUUCGUGAUAUUUUUAUAAAUCUAUAAAUAAUAUUUAUGUGAUUUGGUAGUAAUACCAGUAAUAUAUAGCAUUAUUACUGAUGAUAAUGUGCGGAACUGUGUUUACUUGGUAAUUUUAGGAUGUCGAAUAUUAAUGUAUAUUAGUAUUAUUCUUUAUUAUUAUUAUUACUUUCUCUAGUAAUAAUAAUAGUAAAUAAUAAUAUUAAUAAUAUAAAUAUGCGAUAUCUUAAAUAGUUAAAAUGCUUUGCCUAUUAAUAUUUGAUUUUGCGUGUAGAAUUGAACUGCUAUGAUUAUCUAACUCAAGUUGCAAUUCUGAAUUGAAUAGUAUCUAAAUUGAGUAUUAUGGUAGGUGGUAAGUAAAUGUAUGGAAAUAUGUGAUACCUGCUAAGUGCUACGUGUUAAAUGUUAGAGUAUUAUUCUUGAUAGUAUAAUGUAUUAAUAUUGAGUUACUUUCCGUUUUAAAGAUAAGCUGCUAGUUUCUUUCAAUCAUGAUGUGUUUAGGUGCCGCAUGUCUGGGCGGAUUAUUUAUCAUUAUGUGUUAGGUGCCGCAUGUCGGGGCGGGUACUUUUCUUAUGUGUGUUGCUGCAUGUCAAGGCAGAUUUUCUUUAUAUUAGUAUUUUAUUUAGUUUAAAGAGAUUGAUAUGAUUGAUUUGAAAACAGGGGGAUAGUCCUAUUUACGAAUAGGUCAUGCCGAAUUUUCCGUAGAAAUAUUAACUUAAGUUACGCGUUCUCGUGUUAAAUAAUAUUCUGAGUUGGUUGUAAGUUAUAAGCUAUAAUGUGUGCUACUUGUUAUGUGCUGUAUAUAUAUGUAUAUAUAUAUCACGAAAGGGUAGAAAUAGGAUAGUCGUUUCGGAAGGAUACUAAAGUAGUAUCUUUUUGCUUAUAAUAGGAUCGAGCAUUGAGGGCGUGAUACCAAACAGAGGCAAGAAAAGGUGAGAGUUGUAUAGCGGUUCAGUAGUUACGGAUUGUUCGAGACGAGUAGAACCAGACAUUGGGGAUCAAGACUGAACUUAGAUAAGAUUCGUAUCAGGCUGCAGUAACCGCAUGAGCGACAUAGCAAAGAAUCAGGAAUAGUUGAUGGUGAUGUCUUGAGAAAGCAGAAUAAGAUAAGGAUGUUAGCUAAGAGUGUAAAAGCUAAGGACCAAAGGCAAGUAUUCUCAUUUCUCUCUUAUAUAUUUGAAAGUGCAAGUAUUCCUACUCUUCUCUUUUAUUUAAAGAGCAAGUAUUUCAAUUUCUUUUGAUAAUGCAAGUAUUUCUAUUCUUCUCUUAUUUAUUAAGAGCAAGUGAUUUAUUCCACAAUUAUUAAUUAUUGCCAAUGCAAUUAUUAUAUUCUGUAUUUCAAUUCAUAGAAUAUCAUAUGCUUUGGAUUUAAUUAUUGUUCGAUAUUCCAUACACCAUACAGAUACUCAAUAAUGAUUGAAUUCAAUACAUUCCAAUGAUUGAAUUCCCUACAUUCUAGUAAUCAUUCUACUAGAAUUCUCAAAUUACUUCUAAGAUAGAUAGUGAAAAACUAUGCUAUCCAGAUAUACUCCAAACAGUACAAGAGUUGAAAUUCAUAAUUAGCAAAUAACUAAUUAUUCUAGUUAUGUUGCCAUCAGUUGAUAUGACUACUCCGGACCAUGUGAAAUGGCGAGUUUGUUGAUCGAGAG
This 2502-nucleotide long non-coding RNA is filed under the name Daucus carota (carrot). RNAcentral's name for it is "long non-coding RNA (DCAR_LNC000898)". Lineage: Eukaryota; Viridiplantae; Streptophyta; Magnoliopsida; Apiales; Apiaceae. The record is from RNAcentral.